CAGCCCUGCCUCAGUCUCUUAACUGAAAAACGGAUCGAAGGAAAAAUUGAUUAAAACUUAUUCAGCUAAUGGAGGUGAUGAGACGGCUAUUUUUUGUCAUGGCUGUAAAAUAACAAGGAACUUGGAAAAAGUCAUCCUCACGGAGGCAGGAGAGAGCCUGCUGAACUGCUGAAACCUGGUGAAACUUUACAGUAUUGGUUUUGUUUUGUCUUUUUGGGACAGGCUCUCAGUAUGUAGUACAGGCUGACCUUGAACUCGGUUUUUUUGUUUGUUUGUUUGUUUUGUUUUUUUUUUGCAUCUAUCAAGCACUAGGCCCUGUGAUAACGCGUCUUCUGCAUUAUUAAUGUGACCAUUACAACAAUGAUAGAUGUGGUGGAUGUUACAGUUUCCUCUUUUACAGGCAGUUGGGGAUUUUGGCCAGGUCCCCAAUAUUUGGUGCCUGAAGAGGGACCUCCUGAUUAGGUCUGAGAGGGAAGAUCCACCCAAGGGGAAAGAAGAGGACAUGCGAUGGCGAGAGGACUCCAUGGGACAAAUUUGGGAAAGUCCAAACAGAAAGUGAAAGGAGAUGGAUCACCAGUGUGGUUGCCAUCCAAGAAUGUGCAACUGUGGAAGACAGAAAAACCCAGCCAAGGACAACGACUUUUGUACAGAUGAGUCUCAAUGAUCAGCCGGUGACAAUUCCAACCCCGUCAAUGAUGGAGGCCAAACAAAUUACAAACAAGAGCCUGGAGAAGACAAUUCAUGAGGCCAAUGCCCUGGUAGACUGUCAGGGUCUGGCACAGACUCCUGACACUAUGUUUGUUGCUAUGAUGGCUAUCACAGCAUGUGCAGGUACAUAUACCCCGUGUCAGGGAUAGAAUAUUGGGCUUACAUCCUCAACCCUCCCCUACUUAGACCAGUUACUUGGAUGAUCUCUCACCUGAAAUUUAUCAUGAAACUGACACAUCCUGUUUACUAGUGGUGAAUUUGAUACUAGCCCAGCCAUCCCUAUAGAUGUGAAAGAUAAGGCAAUUGUUAAUUAUACUUCUCACUUAUCCUCCUGUGUGUGUGGAAGAUGUUUCCAUACAGUUUAAUCACUGUUAUGCCACCUCAUCUCAGACCUGGUUGGCCCAUACCCCUGCAAACUUUAUUAUGUUAACUCUGGGGUCCAUUCACAUGGCUGGUGAACAAAUAGAUUUCUUCCUACCCAAAUACCCAAUUUGUCAGGCUCACACUACAUGGAAUGGAUUUCAUAAAGAUGCCCCUCCACUUUGGAAUAUAUGUAGGGGCCGAUCAGGAAGAUACAGAAAAUUGGGACCACAUGAAUUUAUUGACUAGGGACCAUGGGGAGAUUUUAUGGGAAGAAAGGACAAUAGUCCAAACUGGUAUAAAUUAAACUAGACUAACCUUGAUAAUGUGACUAAAAAAAUAUGUCCCUACUAAGGAAAUAAGUUGGAUAGGAGGUUUUAUCACCUUCUCCCCAGUUUUUACAUUAUGGAAAACUUGGGUCUGCCCAGAAAAAUUAUGGAAAUUGGCUCUUCCCUAUAUUGAAGGAAGCUUAUGGGCUGGUAAUGGUUUAACAACAGACUCUGGCUAUACUAUACAGCCAUAUAACAGCAUCAUAUUAUAUGGCUGUUUGAGCUUCCAUAUGUAUCUAUAACCCUCAUGUUUUUAUGUAUGGGAAUAUGUAAUGGAGUACUAAUACCUUUACCUGUAAAAAUACACCUUGAGUCCUUAUAUUCCCUGUGGAUCUGUACAAAAUAAGAUUUUAAUGAUCCUAGGGUGUAUGCCAGGAGUAUGAGUUCCUGUUAAUUUAACUGAAACAUGCUCAUAUACACCUACUUUUCAUUUGUUACAAGUCCUGCUUGAUCAUCCAAUGCAGAGGAAGGACAGUGCUGAGAUGAUCACUGCUGGCAUAGUCUCUUUGGUGUAAUUGAUUUCAAAUGUAGCCAUUUUCUCUGUUGCCUUGGCCCAUUCUGUUCAAACAGCUCAUUUCAUAGAUAAUUGAACCAAGAUUGCUUGUGGGGCCUGGAAUAUACAACAUUCUAUAGAUGCUGAACUGCAAUCCCAAAUAAGUGUGCUUGAGGGGCUGGGGAUUUA
This is a long non-coding RNA of Chinchilla lanigera (long-tailed chinchilla), 2079 nucleotides long. RefSeq lists it as uncharacterized. Lineage: Eukaryota; Metazoa; Chordata; Mammalia; Rodentia; Chinchillidae. The record is from RefSeq and is a predicted model, not a curated record. The transcript is spliced from 3 exons.